This 468-nucleotide ribosomal RNA is filed under the name uncultured bacterium. RNAcentral's name for it is "partial 16S ribosomal RNA". It matches the Rfam family "Bacterial small subunit ribosomal RNA", at positions 28 to 507 of the family's 1533-position model. The record is from RNAcentral.
GACGAACGCUGGCGGCGUGCUUAACACAUGCAAGUCGAACGGAAAGGCCCUGCUUUUGUGGGGUGCUCGAGUGGCGAACGGGUGAGUAACACGUGAGUAACCUGCCCUUGACUUUGGGAUAACUUCAGGAAACUGGGGCUAAUACCGGAUAGGAGCUCCUGCUGCAUGGUGGGGGUUGGAAAGUUUCGGCGGUUGGGGAUGGACUCGCGGCUUAUCAGCUUGUUGGUGGAGUAGUGGCUUACCAAGGCUUUGACGGGUAGCCGGCCUGUGAGGGUGACCGGCCACAUUGGGACUGAGAUACGGCCCAGACUCCUACGGGAGGCAGCAGUGGGGAAUAUUGCACAAUGGGCGGAAGCCUGAUGCAGCAACGCCGCGUGCGGGAUGACGGCCUUCGGGUUGUAAACCGCUUUCGCCUGUGACGAAGCGUGAGUGACGGUAAUGGGUAAAGAAGCACCGGCUAACUACGUG